Molecule: long non-coding RNA, 2288 nt
Organism: Homo sapiens (human)
Lineage: Eukaryota; Metazoa; Chordata; Mammalia; Primates; Hominidae
Exons: 8
Source: RefSeq, marked validated
AGCUGAGUAGCUACAGUACAUAUCUAAGAGGGGGCUCUAAUUCUCAAUAUUUUCCAAAUUUAUUAGAUCACAGACUUUUCUUUUAGUGAAGUGCUUAAUGAAACUUAAGUUCUGUGAAAAGUACUUUGAGAAAUAUUGCUUUAAAAAGAAAAAGAUUGAGCCCUGUAUCAGGGGAAAUAUCUAAUAUUAUAUUAAACAAAAAAGUCCCACUGAAGAAAAUCAUCUUAUUGUUCAUAGACCUUAGUUUAGGUAUUGGGGCCAAAGGAUGGAUGACCAUUUCAAACGAUCCAGGCUAAGCCAGGAGGAGAGCUCAAAGUCUGAUCUGCUCUGCUGCCCCCUGCCCCAUACACGUGAUGGAGCAGAAAACGUGCUGUGUGAACCUGUGACUUCAGGGCCUGUUGACGUGGUCGUGCUUGCAUACUCUCUGGACUGGACCUCACUGUGGGAACAACAAGAUCAACAAGAGGAGCAAGAACAACAUCAAGAGUCAGGGCCCGGGGGUCCUGACGGGUACAGGAUGGGUACAGACCCACACAGGAAUCCCAGAGUGUGUUCCACAGCAGGACACGCCUGCGCUGAAAGAGUGGGCAGAAAGGAGCUGACCUGGGAUUAUGAUCCAAACUCAGCUGGGCCUCCCCUACCUGCCCCAGGAUUGUGGAGUGAGAACGUUGCAGCAGGGGAGAACAACGCAGCAAAGCACAGCAGGGGAACCGGAAAUGCUCACCCUUUGACAGGACCAAACCAAUGCACAACUCCUACGUACUGAUGGUGGUCUUACGUUUCCCUAAGUUUCUGCCGACUAAACUGUGCACACGUUCUCAGGACCUCCUGAAGCUGCGUCACAGGCGCUGAUCAAAGAACACAACCAAGAGUUUGGCCUUUUCUUCAGCACUGGGAAUUGUGAUCCAAAGCUUUUCCUGAUGAAGCACAAAGUUGGAGAAAAAAAAGCAAACUAAACAACAACAAUGAAACAGAACAGAGUUAAUCUGCUGUAGCUCAAGAGAGGACGUAGCUGCCCCCACUCCGCAUCCCUGGGCUCGGGUUUGCCUUGCUGACCUCUGCUGCCACCUGGUGCCACACAGAGAAACUGAGGAGAAACCACAUCAGUCUCCUUCAGCCUCAGCUUCACAUCUGUGGGUCAAGUAACCCUUUCAGAAGCUGAAUAAUGUGGGAAAGCUUUCCUCUCAGGAAAAUGCACACAUCCAACUUUGAGAAGAUGCCCUUGGGGGUGCUUCAAGGAUCCUAGAUAAAGAACCCCCUUUCCCGAACAUCCAAGAACCUAAGUUUUUUUUUUUUUUUUUGAGAAAGUCUCGCUCUCUCUCCCAGUCUGGAGUGCAGUGGCGUGAUCUUGGCUCACUGCAAGCUCCACCUCCCAGGUUCACGCCAUUCUCCUGCCUCAGCCUCCCGAGUAGCUGGGGCUACAGGCACCUGCCACCAAACCCGGCUAAUUUUUUUGUAUUUUUAGUAGAGACGGGGUUUCACCGUGUUAGCCAGGAUCGUCUUGAUCUCCUGACCUUGUGAUCCACCCGCCUCGGCCUCCCAAAUUGCUGGGAUUACAGAUGUGAGCCACCGCACCUGGUCCAAGAACCCAAGUUUUAGAUCUAGAGUGAUGUCAGCAUGACAUUGAUUUCCUGAGGCCCAGGGGCGAAGGAGCUGAGGACAGCAGAGGGGUGAAGGAACUCAGCUACAGACAGCAGCAGCUGAUGCACAGGGCUCCCAGCGCCUGAAGUCACCCGGAAUUGGGAAGUGCUCAGAAGCUUACAAAGCUGCCUCGAGGAACAGUAAGAGGACCUUGUGCAUGAAUAAUUUGUUUCCACACUGCAGACAGAAGAAUCCCAGACUUCUUAGAGAACCCAGUGACUUUUUGCACCUUAAAUCUGUGAAAUCCUCAUGCUUUCUUCUGCCGUAUCCAUCGUUCAAACAAACAUGAGGCAAAGCUAGACACAUUCCUGAAGGAACCCAAGAAAUUCCUCUCUUUCUCUCUCUGGAAUGAAAUGAAUUCUCUAGACCACCAGUUCUAACCUUCAAAAACCAAACCUGUUUGUGAGAUCUCCUUCAAAUACUACUGUAGACCCCAGUGUUUAUUCAUUAAAUUUUUUAAAUAUUUGUUUUAUUUGGAAUCAAAGUAUUUGUAAUUUUAGUAUUUGUAUUAAUAUAAGGGAGAAAUGUUUAAAUCUGUCUAUGCCACAUGUGCCUUCGGCUUAUUGCCCAAUUAAUUGUAGCCUCAGGCUAAACUUUGGUUUCUGUCUUUAAUUUUUGUCGGAAGAAAUAUAACUGGUCUCAAAACA